AACAUACCAGUACUUUCUGUAUGAUAGGCUCUACCCUAGUUCUCUACAUGCAUCCUUUUAUCUAAACUUCUUCAAAGCCCUGUGCAGUGAAUAGAAGUGCCCUCAGUGCAUUAUAUUGAGGGGUUUAUGAGAUCAACAUGAGUUAUUAUUGGUACUGUUAACCUUGACCAUUUGCUUAAGGUGGUGGUUGUCAGAUUGCUCUACUGCAGUGUUAAUAAUUUUUCCCUUUUCGUGUGCCAUUUGUUGUAGGCUGAAUAUUUGUGUCUCCUCCUUGCUGCCCUCUCAAAUUCAUAUGUUGAAAUCCUAACCCCCAAAGUGAUGGUGUUAGGAGAUGGGCGCUUUUGGGAGGUGAUUAGAUCAUGAGGGCGGAGCCGUCAUAGUUGUGAUGACUACUGUUAUAAAAGAGACCCCAGGGAGCAAGCCGUGUGAGGAUACAAUGAGAAGUCAGCAGUUUGCAACUUGAAGAGAGCUGACACCCUGAACCUGGACUUCUGGCUUCCAGAACUCAAAGCCAUACAAUACAAUACAGUCCUCUGCCAGCAGAUCUGUUACUAAAGGAAUUCAUGCAUCUUGCAUCUUGAAGAUGCAUUAUUAAUGCCUGGACAAAUCACAUCAGGUGAAACGCAGCAAGUCCCUGGCACUGAAAAAAAGGAACAAAGGCUGGUUCUACAAGAGAGCGAUGGAUGAGACAAAUUAUAACAGCUGGGAGUUUCUUCUUGCUUGGCCUUCGUAUGAGAGUCAAGACAUAAAUUGGACCAUAAAUUGGCCUCUGUCAGAAUCUACAUCGGAAUGACACCAAAUACAUGUCAUCGGGCUUGUGUUCCAGCCAGCAGCAGGGAUCCACUGGUGCUUGUCAUCUUGAUCAAAUGUUCACCUCACUCCAUUUUCCAGCUUGUGCUUCUACUUUGAAGAAAACACGAUAAUGAGAUUGUGCAGACAGAAAGAAGAUCUUUCUCAACUUUGCAUCUUCAGUGUGUAGCCAGCACCUGGCAUGUGG
This is a non-coding RNA of Sus scrofa (pig), 997 nucleotides long. Lineage: Eukaryota; Metazoa; Chordata; Mammalia; Artiodactyla; Suidae. The record is from RefSeq and is a predicted model, not a curated record.